RNAcentral lists this ribosomal RNA (118 nucleotides) under Cavia porcellus (domestic guinea pig). Lineage: Eukaryota; Metazoa; Chordata; Mammalia; Rodentia; Caviidae. The record is from RNAcentral.
GUGUAAAACCACUCCACCCUAAAUGAACCUGAUCUCAGAAGCCAAGCAGGACUGGUCAUGGUUAGUGUUUAAAUAGGCCAGAGGCUCAGCAUCAGGGAUUAUCCUGGAGUCUAUCACA